Molecule: ribosomal RNA, 2176 nt
Filed under: Patescibacteria group bacterium
Lineage: Bacteria
Description: partial 23S ribosomal RNA
Rfam family: Bacterial large subunit ribosomal RNA
Source: RNAcentral
ACAGGAGACGUGAAGAGUGCACGGUGGAUGCCUAGGCUUGUGACAGCGAUGAAGGACGCGACUAAUCAGCGAAAGCUCCGGGGAGGCGAUUUGUAGCCCUCGAUCCGGAGGUGUCCGAAUGGGGAAACCCAUCUGCGUAUGCAGAUACCUAUUGAGUAAUGUCUUUAGGAGCGAACCUCGGGAAGUGAAACAUCUCAGUACCGAGAGGAAAAGAAAACAAGAGCGAGUCGUGUUCUCUGGAAGCGGUAGUUCGCUUUUAGGGAACACGUCUCUCGCGAUUCCGUAAGUAGCGGCGAGCGAAACCGGAAGAGCCCAAACCUACAGAUUCGUCUGUGGGGGUUGUAAGAGAAUGCGCCCGCAAGGGAGAGAGUUACCAAUUGUCGUCAUAGUAGAAACUGCUGGGAAGCAGUGCCAUAGAGGGUAAUGGCCCCGUAUACGAAAUGACUGACAACUCUCGCAUUUUUCUUGAGUAGCUCGAGACACGAAUAGCUCGAGUGAAUCUGCCGGAACUAACCGGUAAGGCUAAAUAUGUCACAGGACCGAUAGUGAACUAGUACCGCGAGGGAAAGGUGAAAAGCACCCCGAGAGGGGAGUGAAAUAGUACUGAAACCGUGUACUUACAAAGGGUGGGAGCGGGUCGUCGCAAGACGGCACCGUGACCGCGUGCCUAUUGAAGAAUGAGCCGGCGAGUGUGUGUAUGUCGCGUAGCUAAAUCCUUUACCGGAUCGAGCUGUAGGGAAACCGAGCGUGAAUAGCGCGUCAGUGGCAUACAUACGACCCGAAGCCAGAUGAGCUUGCCAUGUGCAGGGUGAAGCGGAGCGAAAGCUGCGUGGAGGCCCGAACCCGUUAGUUGUACAACACUUUGGGAUGACGUGUGGCAAGGAGUGAAAAGCUAAUCGAAUCUGGUAAUAGCUGGUUCUCUCCGAAACAGCUUUUGGGCUGGCGUUGUGCGUUCCUUCCGGGGGUAGAGCACUGGAAGGGUUCAACAGGGAGAAAUCUCGUGAACCCUAUCAACCUCCGAAUACCGGAAGCCAGAGCACAGCAGUUAGAACGUGGGGGCGAAGCUCCACGGAUCGAAAGGGGAAGAGCCCUGAUCGCAAGUUAAGGCCCCAAAAUCGACGCUCAGUAUAUCCAGAAGGAAGUGAGGAUUCAUAAACAGUGAGGAUGUUGGCUUAGAAGCAGCCACCAUUUAAAGAAAGCGUAACAGCUCACUCAUCGAGAGUCCUCGCGCCGAAGAUGAUCGGGAUUAAGCGUCGUGCCGAAACUGCGGGUGUGCAUCGUAUUCGUACGAUGUACGCGGUAGGAGAGCGUUCGCAUCGCGAUGAAGGAUAAGGGGUGACCCAUUCUGGAGCGUUGCGAAGUGAGGAUGCCGGUACAAGUAACCACAAUGCGGGUGAGAACCCCGCACGUCAAAAGAUCAAGGUUUCCUCGGCCAUGGUAAUCAUCCGAGGGUUAGUCGGGCCUAAGGGGAUGGCGAAAGCCGCACCCGAUGGACACACGGUCAAUAUUCCGUGACCAUUCCGCAUGCGAAGAAGUGACGGACUGCUGUACUCACUGCCCAUUAUUGGAUUUGGGUCAGUGGUGCGAGGAGGCGUUCCUGGAAAAUCCGGAACGCAUUAACUCCGAGCAUUGCUGCAAUGCUCUCCCACGGGGGAGCAAAGAGUGAGGAGCGCGGUUCCAAGAAAACCUUCUACGCUUCAGUGCGAGAAUGCCCGUACCGCAAACCGACACCGGUGAUCAAGGCGAGUAGCCUACGACGAACGAGUGAGAGAUCCUCAAGGAACUCGGCAAAAAAGCGGCCGUAAGUUAGCGAUAAGGCCUGCCCCGCGCAAGCGGGGCCGCAGUGAAAGUUUCCCUGGCAACUGUUUACCAAAAACACAGCUCCCUGCGAACUCGUAAGAGGAGGUAUAGGGGGUGACGCCUGACCAAUGCCGGAAGGUCAAGCACGGUUGGUGGCAUACUUCGGUAUUCUGCUGGACUGUGUAAGCCCCGGUGAAUGUCGGCGAUAACUAUAAUCGUCCUAAGGUAGCGCAAUUCCUUGUCGGGUAAAUUCCGACGUGCACGAAUGGCGUAAUGACUGGGGAACUGUCUCGAGGAUUCGCUCGGUGAAAAUGCACUUCCGGUGAAGAUGCCGGAUACCUGUAGUUAGACGAAAAGACCCUAGAAGCUUUACUGC